RNAcentral lists this ribosomal RNA (497 nucleotides) under uncultured bacterium. Its description in RNAcentral is "partial 16S ribosomal RNA". It matches the Rfam family "Bacterial small subunit ribosomal RNA", at positions 28 to 507 of the family's 1533-position model. The record is from RNAcentral.
GAUGAACGCUGGCGGCGUGCCUAAUACAUGCAAGUCGAGCGAACAGACGAGGAGCUUGCUCCUCUGACGUUAGCGGCGGACGUGUGAGUAACACGUGUAUAACCUACCUAUAAGACUGGGAUAACUUCGGGAAACCGGAGCUAAUACCGUAUAAUAUAUUGAACCGCAUGGUUCAAUAGUGAAAUACGGUUUUUCUGUCACUUCUAGAUGGAUCCGCGCCGCAUUAGAUAGUUGGGAAGGUAACGGCUUACCAAGGCGACGAUGCGUAGCCGACCUGAGAGGGGGGUCGGCCACACUAGAGCGGAGCCACGGUCAAGAGUCCUAAGGGAGGCACCAGACGGGAAUCUGCGGCAACGGGGGAAAGCCUGACGGAGCAACGCCGAGUGAGAGAUAACGGCCUUCGGAUCGUAAAACUCUGUUAUUGGGGAAAAACAAAUGUGUACGUAAAUAAGGAGGUAUUGACGGUAACUAAUAAAAAAGCAACGGCUAACUACGUG